RNAcentral lists this unclassified non-coding RNA (214 nucleotides) under uncultured Agaricales. RNAcentral describes it as "sequence contains ITS2". The record is from RNAcentral. Lineage: Eukaryota; Fungi; Basidiomycota; Agaricomycetes; Agaricales.
AAUUCUCAACCUUGAAAGGCUUUGUCUUUUCAAUGGCUUGGAUGUGAGGGUUUUGCUGGCUUCCUUCAGUGGAUGGUCUGCUCCCUUUAAAUGCAUUAGUGGGAUCCUUUGUGGACGGUCACUUGGUGUGAUAAUUAUCUACGCCGUUUGUACUGUGAAGCAAAACUUGUGGGAACCUGCUUAUAACCGUCUGUAAUGGACAACUUUUUUGAAC